This 249-nucleotide ribosomal RNA is filed under the name uncultured Actinomycetales bacterium. RNAcentral describes it as "partial 16S ribosomal RNA". It matches the Rfam family "Bacterial small subunit ribosomal RNA", at positions 84 to 334 of the family's 1533-position model. Lineage: Bacteria; Bacillati; Actinomycetota; Actinomycetes; Actinomycetales. The record is from RNAcentral.
GGGGUGCUCGAGUGGCGAACGGGUGAGUAACACGUGAGUAACCUGCCCUUGACUUUGGGAUAACUUCAGGAAACUGGGGCUAAUACCGGAUAGGAGCUCCUGCUGCAUGGUGGGGGUUGGAAAGUUUCGGCGGUUGGGGAUGGACUCGCGGCUUAUCAGCUUGUAGGUGGGGUAGUGGCUUACCAAGGCUUUGACGGGUAGCCGGCCUGAGAGGGUGACCGGCCACAUUGGGACUGAGAUACGGCCCAG